Nicotiana tabacum (common tobacco) is the source of this 1689-nucleotide long non-coding RNA. RefSeq lists it as uncharacterized. NCBI's taxonomy places the organism in Eukaryota, Viridiplantae, Streptophyta, Magnoliopsida, Solanales, Solanaceae. The record is from RefSeq and is a predicted model, not a curated record.
UAAAAUUAAAGUUUAUCUAGGGCACAAAUCUGCUUACAGACUCACAUUCUCUCUCUCUCUAUCAAACUCGCCCACUUUCUCUCAUCUUCAACAAUGUGAGAUUCUUGCUUCCAAUCCAACAAAUUGGGCAUGAGUCUAAGGCUCAUGUACCAUUGCCGCACUUUCCCUUCUCUUCCACCAUCGUCGGCCACCGUCUUGAGUUUAAAAAGGACUUUUGAAAGAAAUGGAGAUGUCUUGCCAUGUGAUAGUUGAAUAGGUUAACUUUUUUGCUAUAGUAUCAGUUCUGGAAAAGAUAGAUUCAGAUUUGCAAAGAUAUGCCUCGAGGGAGAGGUCAAGAUAGUGCAGGUCGUGUAAGCAAAUCUUCAGUUAGGGGUAAAUGUGCUGCUCGUGAAAACAUGCAUACUGUUUCUAUUCCCACAACUAGUCCUCAACAAGGUGGCACCAGUUCCUACGGUAGAUCAGAUUACAUCAACCAAGUUCAAACAUCAUCCCAUGGUAGUACCCCACCUAUUAAUUUGGAACCAUCUCCAAUUAUACCUAAUCAGAGCAACACAAUAGGCGAGGGUACAUCUUCUCAAAGCAACCUUAUAGGCGAAGUUGAAUGUAGCAGUACCCGUGGGCAGCGAACGCUUCUUACUAUUUUUCCCACAAGGUUAGAACCUUCAAGAGAAUGCUCGAGUGUAUAACUAAUUCUUUCAAGCAUGAACUUGUUCCUAAUGGAAUCAACUGGAAAAGCGUCUCGGUUGAGACAAAAAGAUUUUAUUUUGGAGAAUUCAAGAAGGUAUUCUACUAGAUUCUUCAAUUGAUAUUGUUGUGUGGAACCAAUGGGGGCAUAUGGAAGCAAAAAGAUACAGUGAUUUCAUUAGCAAACUAAAACAAAUGAGAUGCAACGGAAAUCUAUUCCAAAUAAUGUGUGAAAAAGUUGGAUGAGACUUUGGAAAGAUCCUAAGUGUGUGGAAAAAUCAGAAAUAAAUGCAAAAUACCAUUCUGGUGGUAGAAGCGGAGUCACCAUUAGGACUCACAUGGGUGGAUCUAUCAGUGUUGGGGAGCAUCGCAAGAGACUUGCUGUUAAAAAGGGUCGAGAUCCAACACCAAGUGAGAUACAUUUACACGUCCAUACACAUGGUAAUGAUAAAAAAUCUUUUGUUGGUGAGAAAUUCCGAAUCGUACAUGAAAUAUUACAGCAACAAAUACAUAGUCAAUUUGAUAUUGAUCAGUGUAAAGCAUAUUAUGAAGCUGCGGGAUGAGAAAAGAAAAAAAGAGUAUAUGGUCUUGGAUCUCAAGCAAAAUGCUACUACAGGCCGAAUUUUCGUGACUCUUUUGGAUCUGAUGCAACACCUUCAAAUGCUCAAUCAACACUGAUAGGGAAUCUGGAUGAGUUAGUGACACAAUUGAUUUCUGUACUGACAGAUCAUAUAGUUCCUGUAAUGAUUGAGCGGGUACGCGAAUUAGUUUCUUUACCCUCACAUCAGCCAAAUAUUGAUCUUACCAACCACCCAUCAGAUGUGGCACCUACAGUUCCUACUUCUUCUAUUGCUGCUAACAUUGAUGAGGUUCAUGCAUUGGGUUCUGAUGAUGACCGUGACUCUCCAGCCUCGCAUAGUUAGCCUAUUUUGUUUAGACUUUAUUGUCGAUGCUUGUGGAUGUUUUGUACUUAACGAUACAGUUAUAUGUAUUAUGCUAUAUAUU